Gallus gallus (chicken) is the source of this 804-nucleotide long non-coding RNA. RefSeq lists it as uncharacterized. The record is from RefSeq and is a predicted model, not a curated record. The transcript is spliced from 2 exons. Lineage: Eukaryota; Metazoa; Chordata; Aves; Galliformes; Phasianidae.
CUUUGGUGUUUCAUAGCCAGUGCUGUCAGACAGAGUUGUCUCGACUACAGAACAAGGCUGGAUAGAUGUUUUAGCUUAGUCACUGUGAGCUGUUUAAUUGCCUAAUUAACAUGCUGAUUUGAAAGCUCAUUUAGUAGAUUUACAGGUGUCUCCAAUAUUUGUAACUCCAGGUUUGCUCUUUGUCACUUCUGGUUGUUUUACAUAUGCAAAAUUUAACUGAAUUAAUUUUGGUUUACAUCACAGUAAGUGUCUCAUUUAAGAAGAAAGGAGAUGCAUGCACAUUUUUUCAUGGCUAAUAUAAGUAAAUUGCUUUUCUGGAGCAUCUGGGAGCAUUCUAUCUUCUCAAAUCUUUCCCAGAGCCAGACUAGUGCACGUAGCCAUGAUUCUGUUGGUAAUGAAAUUGAUCCAAGCAGUGUCUAGCUCUGUUCAUUGUUUCCUCAUAAUGCCCUUUAUUAUGGCAGCAUCACUUCUGUAGAGCACAACAGAGGAGGAGGCGGUGUUACAUGCACAAUUUUGCUUACGGGAAAAGAGGAAGCACAUUGCAUAGCCAACAGUUGCCCAGCCAACAGGAGCAGGGACCUGAUCCAGCUGAUCCCACCAUGGUGAGGGACCCCACUGAGCCAAGUUCCUGACCUUGCCUCCAGCCUGGCUGAUCACAGACAAUGCAGAUGGGACCAAGGACAUGGGCAGUGUUGGACUGCUUGUUCUGGCAAGCUCUUGAACUGCUGUGACACUCCAACUAGAGAUUAGCAAGAAGCUGUUUAGGAUGGCUUUUUAGCUAAUGCACAUGGAAGUUUAUGGUCA